This 1346-nucleotide ribosomal RNA is filed under the name uncultured bacterium. Its description in RNAcentral is "partial 16S ribosomal RNA". It matches the Rfam family "Bacterial small subunit ribosomal RNA", at positions 28 to 1381 of the family's 1533-position model. The record is from RNAcentral.
GACGAACGCUGGCGGCGUGCUUAACACAUGCAAGUCGAACGGAAAGGCCCUGCUUUUGUGGGGUGCUCGAGUGGCGAACGGGUGAGUAACACGUGAGUAACCUGCCCUUGACUUUGGGAUAACUUCAGGAAACUGGGGCUAAUACCGGAUAGGAGCUCCUGCUGCAUGGUGGGGGUUGGAAAGUUUCGGCGGUUGGGGAUGGACUCGCGGCUUAUCAGCUUGUUGGUGGGGUAGUGGCUUACCAAGGCUUUGACGGGUAGCCGGCCUGAGAGGGUGACCGGCCACAUUGGGACUGAGAUACGGCCCAGACUCCUACGGGAGGCAGCAGUGGGGAAUAUUGCACAAUGGGCGGAAGCCUGAUGCAGCAACGCCGCGUGCGGGAUGACGGCCUUCGGGUUGUAAACCGCUUUCGCCUGUGACGAAGCGUGAGUGACGGUAAUGGGUAAAGAAGCACCGGCUAACUACGUGCCAGCAGCCGCGGUGAUACGUAGGGUGCGAGCGUUGUCCGGAUUUAUUGGGCGUAAAGGGCUCGUAGGUGGUUGAUCGCGUCGGAAGUGUAAUCUUGGGGCUUAACCCUGAGCGUGCUUUCGAUACGGGUUGACUUGAGGAAGGUAGGGGAGAAUGGAAUUCCUGGUGGAGCGGUGGAAUGCGCAGAUAUCAGGAGGAACACCAGUGGCGAAGGCGGUUCUCUGGGCCUUUCCUGACGCUGAGGAGCGAAAGCGUGGGGAGCGAACAGGCUUAGAUACCCUGGUAGUCCACGCUGUAAACGGUGGGUACUAGGUGUGGGGUCCAUUCCACGGGUUCCGUGCCGUAGCUAACGCUUUAAGUACCCCGCCUGGGGAGUACGGCCGCAAGGCUAAAACUCAAAGGAAUUGACGGGGCCCCGCACAAGCGGCGGAGCAUGCGGAUUAAUUCGAUGCAACGCGUAGAACCUUACCUGGGUUUGACAUGGAUCGGGAGUGCUCAGAGAUGGGUGUGCCUCUUUUGGGGUCGGUUCACAGGUGGUGCAUGGCUGUCGUCAGCUCGUGUCGUGAGAUGUUGGGUUAAGUCCCGCAACGAGCGCAACCCUUGUUCACUGUUGCCAGCACGUUAUGGUGGGGACUCAGUGGAGACCGCCGGGGUCAACUCGGAGGAAGGUGGGGAUGACGUCAAGUCAUCAUGCCCCUUAUGUCCAGGGCUUCACGCAUGCUACAAUGGCUGGUACAGAGAGUGGCGAGCCUGUGAGGGUGAGCGAAUCUCGGAAAGCCGGUCUCAGUUCGGAUUGGGGUCUGCAACUCGACCUCAUGAAGUCGAAGUCGCUAGUAAUCGCAGAUCAGCAACGCUGCGGUGAAUAAAUUCCCGGGGCU